GACGAACGCUGGCGGCGUGCUUAACACAUGCCAGUCGAACGGAAAGGCCCUGCUUUUGUGGGGUGCUCGAGUGGCGAACGGGUGAGUAACACGUGAGUAACCUGCCCUUGACUUUGGGAUAACUUCAGGAAACUGGGGCUAAUACCGGAUAGGAGCUCCUGCUGCAUGGUGGGGGUUGGAAAGUUUCGGCGGUUGGGGAUGGACUCGCGGCUUAUCAGCUUGUUGGUGGGGUAGUGGCUUACCAAGGCUUUGACGGGUAGCCGGCCUGAGAGGGUGACCGGCCACAUUGGGACUGAGAUACGGACCAGACUCCUACGGGAGGCAGCAGUGGGGAAGAUUGCACAAUGGGCGGAAGCCUGAUGCAGCAACGCCGCGUGCGGGAUGACGGCCUUCGGGUUGUAAACCGCUUUCGCCUGUGACGAAGCGUGAGUGACGGUAAUGGGUAAAGAAGCACCGGCUAACUACGUG
RNAcentral lists this ribosomal RNA (468 nucleotides) under uncultured bacterium. Its description in RNAcentral is "partial 16S ribosomal RNA". It matches the Rfam family "Bacterial small subunit ribosomal RNA", at positions 28 to 507 of the family's 1533-position model. The record is from RNAcentral.